UGAGGAAUAUUGGUCAAUGGACGCAAGUCUGAACCAGCCAAGGAGCGUGCAGGAUGACGGCCCUAUGGGUUGUAAACUGCUUUUAUAGGGGGAUAAAGUAGGGAACGUGUUCCCUUUUGCAGGUACCAUAUGAAUAAGGACCGGCUAAUUCCGCGCCAGCAGCCGCGGUAAUACGGAAGGUUCGGGCGUUAUCCGGAUUUAUUGGGUUUAAAGGGAGCGUAGGCCGUUUGGUAAGCGUGUUGUGAAAUGUAGGAGCUCAACUUCUAGAUUGCAGCGCGAACUGUCAGACUUGAGUGCGCACAACGUAGGCGGAAUUCAUGGUGUAGCGGUGAAAUGCUUAGAUAUCAUGAAGAACUCCGAUUGCGAAGGCAGCUUACGGGAGCGCAACUGACGCUGAAGCUCGAAGGUGCGGGUAUCGAACAGG
This 424-nucleotide ribosomal RNA is filed under the name Verrucomicrobiota bacterium. RNAcentral describes it as "Verrucomicrobia bacterium partial 16S ribosomal RNA". It matches the Rfam family "Bacterial small subunit ribosomal RNA", at positions 355 to 776 of the family's 1533-position model. The record is from RNAcentral. Lineage: Bacteria; Pseudomonadati; Verrucomicrobiota.